CGAUGCCUGAGUGGUAAAGGUCGAGAAUUCAUGAUUAUUGUUUCUGCCAAGUCGUGGGUUCAAGCCCCGGUGUCACUGA
Trichonephila clavipes is the source of this 79-nucleotide non-coding RNA. Lineage: Eukaryota; Metazoa; Arthropoda; Arachnida; Araneae; Nephilidae. The record is from the annotation of a GenBank genome assembly.